Molecule: long non-coding RNA, 1032 nt
Filed under: Anser brachyrhynchus (Pink-footed goose)
Lineage: Eukaryota; Metazoa; Chordata; Aves; Anseriformes; Anatidae
Description: lncRNA (ENSABRG00000006208.1)
Source: RNAcentral
UUUUUUAGAAAAGACUGGCCAGGAAGGCGAGGUGGUGGAGUUGCUCUUACAAGAGCGAGCAAGUGGCAUGUGUGGAGCUCUGCCUAGGGGUGGAUGUAGAGAGAGAGUUGAGAGCUUAUGGGUAAGGAUUAAAGGGCAGGCUACCAUGGCUGACACUAUUGUGGGUGUUUGCUACAGGCCACUUGAUCAGGAAGAGGAGGUAGAUGAAGCCUUCUUCAGACAGCUCAAAGUAGCCUCCCAGUCACAAGCCCUGGUUCUCAUGGGGAACUUCAACCACCCUGAUAUCUGCUGGGCAGACCACACAGCUAGGCACCAAAUGUCCAGGAGGUUCCUGCAGUGCAUUGAUGACAACUUUUUGACACAGGUGGUGGAGAAGCCAACUAGGAAAGGUGUGCUGCUAGACCUUGUAUUAACAAAUGAGGAAGGACUAGUUGGAGAUGUGAGGGUCAGGGGCAGCCUUGGCUGCAGUGACCAUGUUAUGGUGGAGUUCGGUAUCUUGAGAGGAGGAAGCAGGGCAAAAAGUAGGAUUGCGACCCUAGACUUCAGGAGAACAAGCUUUGGCCUCUUCAGGGAUCUACUUGGAAGAAACACAUGGGUUAGGGCCCUGGAAGAAAGGGGGAUCCAAGUCAGCUGGUCAAUAUUCAAGUAUCACUUCCUCCAAGCUCAAGAUCGGUGCAUCCAUAUGAGUAAGAAGACAAGCAAAGGGUGCAGGAGACUUGCAUGGCUGAGCAGGAAGAUCCUGGCAAAGCUCAGACAGAAGAAGAAAGUUUACAGCAUGUGGAAAAAUGGACAGGCCACUUGGGAGGAAUAUAGGAACACUGUCAGAGUAUGCAGGGAUGCGACAAGGAAGGUCAAGGCCCAUUUGGAAUUGUAUCUGGCAAGGAAUGUCAAUGGCAACAAGAAGGGCUUCUUCAAAUACAUCAGUAGAAAAAGGAAGACUGGGGAAAAUGUCAACCCACUGCUGGAUGGGGCGGGUGCCCUGGUGACAAAGGAUACAGACAAGGCAGAAUGCCUGAAUGCCUUUUUUGCUUC